AGAGUUUGAUCAUGGCUCAGAGCGAACGCUGGCGGCAGGCCUAACACAUGCAAGUCGAACGAACUCUUCGGAGUUAGUGGCGGACGGGUGAGUAACACGUGGGAACGUGCCUUUAGGUUCGGAAUAACUCAGGGAAACUUGUGCUAAUACCGAAUGUGCCCUUCGGGGGAAAGAUUUAUCGCCUUUAGAGCGGCCCGCGUCUGAUUAGCUAGUUGGUGAGGUAAAGGCUCACCAAGGCGACGAUCAGUAGCUGGUCUGAGAGGAUGAUCAGCCACAUUGGGACUGAGACACGGCCCAAACUCCUACGGGAGGCAGCAGUGGGGAAUCUUGCGCAAUGGGCGAAAGCCUGACGCAGCCAUGCCGCGUGAAUGAUGAAGGUCUUAGGAUUGUAAAAUUCUUUCACCGGGGACGAUAAUGACGGUACCCGGAGAAGAAGCCCCGGCUAACUUCGUGCCAGCAGCCGCGGUAAUACGAAGGGGGCUAGCGUUGCUCGGAAUUACUGGGCGUAAAGGGAGCGUAGGCGGACAUUUAAGUCAGGGGUGAAAUCCCGGGGCUCAACCUCGGAAUUGCCUUUGAUACUGGGUGUCUUGAGUAUGAGAGAGGUGUGUGGAACUCCGAGUGUAGAGGUGAAAUUCGUAGAUAUUCGGAAGAACACCAGUGGCGAAGGCGACACACUGGCUCAUUACUGACGCUGAGGCUCGAAAGCGUGGGGAGCAAACAGGAUUAGAUACCCUGGUAGUCCACGCCGUAAACGAUGAUUGCUAGUUGUCGGGAUGCAUGCAUUUCGGUGACGCAGCUAACGCAUUAAGCAAUCCGCCUGGGGAGUACGGUCGCAAGAUUAAAACUCAAAGGAAUUGACGGGGGCCCGCACAAGCGGUGAAGCAUGGUGGUUUAAUUC
This 898-nucleotide ribosomal RNA is filed under the name Brevundimonas sp. s50-11-m13-48. RNAcentral's name for it is "bacterial SSU rRNA". It matches the Rfam family "Bacterial small subunit ribosomal RNA", at positions 8 to 952 of the family's 1533-position model. Lineage: Bacteria; Pseudomonadati; Pseudomonadota; Alphaproteobacteria; Caulobacterales; Caulobacteraceae. The record is from RNAcentral.